Haemonchus contortus (barber pole worm) is the source of this 75-nucleotide non-coding RNA. The record is from Rfam. NCBI's taxonomy places the organism in Eukaryota, Metazoa, Nematoda, Chromadorea, Rhabditida, Trichostrongylidae.
GGCACAAACUUGAAGUAGUGUAGUUUAGUAGGGUCAGAUGAUAAUCCUAAUCCACUCUAUUUCAAAUUUGGGCCC